GAUGAACGCUGGCGGCGUGCCUAAUACAUGCAAGUCGAGCGAACAGACGAGGAGCUUGCUCCUCUGACGUUAGCGGCGGACGGGUGAGUAACACGUGGAUAACCUACCUAUAAGACUGGGAUAACUUCGGGAAACCGGAGCUAAUACCGGAUAAUAUAUUGAACCGCAUGGUUCAAUAGUGAAAGACGGUUUUGCUGUCACUUAUAGAUGGAUCCGCGCCGCAUUAGCUAGUUGGUAAGGUAACGGCUUACCAAGGCAACGAUGCGUAGCCGACCUGAGAGGGUGAUCGGCCACACUGGAACUGAGACACGGUCCAGACUCCUACGGGAGGAAGCAGUAGGGAAUCUUCCGCAAAGGGCGAAAGCCUGACGGAGCAACGCCGCGUGAGUGAUGAAGGUCUUCGGAUCGUAAAACUCUGUUAUUAGGGAAGAACAAAUGUGUAAGUAACUAUGCAAGUCUUGACGGUACCUAAUCAGAAAGCCAAGGCUAACUACGUG
RNAcentral lists this ribosomal RNA (497 nucleotides) under uncultured bacterium. Its description in RNAcentral is "partial 16S ribosomal RNA". It matches the Rfam family "Bacterial small subunit ribosomal RNA", at positions 28 to 507 of the family's 1533-position model. The record is from RNAcentral.